UUAAAUUGAAGAGUUUGAUCAUGGCUCAGAUUGAACGCUGGCGGCAGGCCUAACACAUGCAAGUCGAACGGUAACAGGAAGCAGCUUGC
Molecule: ribosomal RNA, 89 nt
Filed under: Citrobacter koseri
Lineage: Bacteria; Pseudomonadati; Pseudomonadota; Gammaproteobacteria; Enterobacterales; Enterobacteriaceae
Also listed under: 40 other names
Description: partial 16S ribosomal RNA
Rfam family: Bacterial small subunit ribosomal RNA
Source: RNAcentral